UACUAUAUCUUGCGAGAACUGUCUAUUAACUUUCUCAAUUUGAGUUGGUUAACUAAUGAUAAAACUAUCUAACUUAUUAUGAGGCUGAUAAAAACAAAAAUUUAUUACAAUUCAGCAAGGUAGAAACACAACAAACCAACUAAUUUAACAUUUUCUCAAGCACGUGGGGACCGGGGUAGAACAUUAA
This is a long non-coding RNA of Ipomoea nil (Japanese morning glory), 187 nucleotides long. RefSeq lists it as uncharacterized. The record is from RefSeq and is a predicted model, not a curated record. NCBI's taxonomy places the organism in Eukaryota, Viridiplantae, Streptophyta, Magnoliopsida, Solanales, Convolvulaceae. The transcript has 2 exons.